Long non-coding RNA from Arabidopsis lyrata subsp. lyrata, 474 nucleotides. RefSeq lists it as uncharacterized. The record is from RefSeq and is a predicted model, not a curated record. NCBI's taxonomy places the organism in Eukaryota, Viridiplantae, Streptophyta, Magnoliopsida, Brassicales, Brassicaceae. The transcript has 3 exons.
AUGAUAUUGAAGUGAGUGGGACUGUGAGGAGAUGAGUCAGAACAUGAAUGCAACAGUUGAUGUAGUUCAAGCAGAUUGAGAUUUGACCAACACCACCAAGCUAGUUUCAGAGUCUCUGCAACAAUGAAGGUCACGGACACAAGGCAAAAAAAGACGUGUCACUUCCCCUGCGUAUUUUUUCAUUAGUAAGCCUCUCUCUGUUCUACUCUCUAUCUCUCUCUGUGCUUCAAUGUGUUUCUUUUUCAGGAAGAGCAGAAGAUUGUGAUAAUGAAGAGGGAGAAGAAUCUUGAUUUGUGAGUUGGAUCUGAAAGUGCUUAUGGAGAUUAAUUUUUGUUUGAAAUAGUGAUUAAAGAAAUGGUUAAGAGAGAAGCAGCCUGGAGAGGGUUAAUGUCUAAACAUGUACCAAUGUCAUUUUAUAAUGAUCACCCACUUAAUCAUAAUUAACUUGAUUUUAUAAUCUUGGAUUCUCCUUUU